CUCAGCGGCACGCCCUACUCCCCCAGCGCCAGGGCAGCAGCGGCCGGAAAACCCGGGCCAAAGUACUGGCAUGGAGACCCUCCACUGAAGGACCCAGGUCUAGAUAUGGAUGGUGGCACCGCACAGCCAGAGCAGACCAGAGCAGAGAGGAGUGGAACUGAGGCAUCAGGCUGGAAAAUAGAGCUUCAGAGAGCUACAACCCCCUGAGGAGUGACCACAGGAAACGUCCCAUCACGGGGACCAGCUGAGGAGCACAGCAAACUCCCUGGUGGGGCGGGAUGGGGACAGGAGGCUACAGAGAGAGACAAAGAGGCAGUCAUGGAAAAAGAGAGAAAGAGAGAGGGCAGAGAAGCAGGACACAGGCAGGCAGCGGGGAUGCCCAGGGCAAGGAUGCCCAGCUGGAGAAACUGGACCUUCGCAUUCCAUCCACGCCCUGGUCGUGCUCCGAGUGGCACAAGUGUUGCACCGGCGGCCGGCUUGCUUUUGCCCGACCGGCUCAUGCCCCCUGGUGGUGGCGACCUGUCAUUGUCAUUGCAGCGCUGGUCUCGGCUUCCGACUUCCCCACCGCUUCUCCCUCUGGUGGCCAGCCCUUCCCAGGCCCUGCUCCUGACUCAGCCUGGACCAAGCCGCGCUGAUUCACCUCCAAGGAGCCUUCCCACACCCACACCUGCCUGGCUUCAAAGGAGUUUCCUAGCAGUUCCUGCUGAGAAGCCCAGGUGGGCUGAGAUUCCCCAGAAAUCAUUUCAAGUGCUGAGAGAUAGUGGGUCACAGUGCAUGGGCCUGUGGUCCCAGCAACUCAGGAGGCUGAGGCAGGAGGAUCACAAGUUCGAGGCCAGCCACGACUCAGUGAGACCCUAAGCAACUCAGUGAGACUCUGUCUCUAAAUAAAAUACAAAAUAGGGCUGGGGAUGUGGCUCAAUGGUGGAGUGCCCUUGAGUUCCAUCCCCAGUACCCACCUGCCCAUACCCAAGAAGAGAUAAUCACUCCAGAGUCACAGGGAACUUUUGAUAAAGAGGAAUUGAUAGUAAAGUAACAAAGUCUGGAUGUCUAUGGAGCCUGUGUUCCAACCCUUCCCAGGACAGCAUCACAAACUGGGAAGUGCCACUCAAAAAAAAAAUGGCUUCUAAAGCGAAGAAUAUUGAAGUUGAAAAUAAAAAUAAGUGGUCUGCUGUCCCACUAGACAAGUUGGAACCUAUGGCUCAUAUACAGGUCCCUUCCAGUGGGAAAGGGCUGUCCAGAAAUUUCACAUUUCUCAUAGGGUGACCCACAUUAAAGACCUCACUGAAAAAUACCACAUAUCCCUUCUGGCAACAGCUCUUCCUAUUCUAAAAUUGCUAGGUAAAAUAUUUACCCUGGUAGAAACAGAUUCAGAGAAUGCUCAGGAAAAAAAUGACUCCAAAAUACACUGCUGAGCCUUUCAGAGAACUUUCAUAGUGUGUGUGUUUCUGCAGCCUGGGGACUGAUCCCAGGAAUGAACCCACAGGUUAAGCAAGUGCUCCACCAUAAGCUACAUCCCAGCCCCCUUUUUUUUAAAAGUCAUUUAUAUCAUUGAUUUUUAAUAAACUAGGUAGAAAACUUGCAGAGAAAUGAUGGUUGUAAGUGUCGACAUGCCAACCAUGAAGGAAAGAAGUCAGAUUUCCUGAACUUUUGGUUCCACUAAAAGAAAAGAGAGUUACUAAUUAACUCUCUUCUUAUUGUUUCUUCUCUCUCUCUCUCUCUUCUCUCUCUCUCUGUACUAGGGAAUGAACCUAGGGAUGCUUAACCACUGAGCCACAUCCCCAGUCCUUUUACAUUUUUAUUUUGAGACAGAGUCUUGCUGAGGGGUUGAGGCUGGCCUCAGCUGCCUGAGUUGUGGGGAUUACAGGCAGGUGCCACUGUGCCCUACCUAAUUAACUCUCUUCUGAUGAGAAGAUUUUUAAAUAAAUUUCUUAACACAAAUUAGGACAACACAUGACUGGAAACUAUAUUCAAUUCACUUUUUCCACAAAACUACUUAGAAAUAAAAAAUAUGCUUAUUUUCAAAUACCAAUUAAUCAACACAAGAUAUAUCAAAUAGCUAUAUCAUUUGGAAUCUUAAAAUGGUAACAAUUAGCAAAUACGUUCACAGCAACAAUCAUUCAAAUAUCAUUCUCAAACAUCAGAGAUUUAUUACAUGUUAGCUGUCUCAGAGUUUUUCAGUGGUAAUACAUUAAAAAUCAUACAUGUCGGAUAAAAGCAUCAGUGCGAUUAUUUUAUAAUUCAGUUGCAAUCAAAAUGCUAGCAGGGCCUGUUUUCUCCACACAUGCCAAAAAUCAGUUUCUAUAAUGGCAGGAUACACUCAAAUAUUAACUUAGCUAUGCUUUCUAAAAAUAAUUUGUUCAAGAAAUAUUCUUUCUCCAACUGGGUGUGAUGGCACAACUGUAAUCCCAGCAUUUUAGGAGGCUAAGACAAUAGGUUCAAAAGUUUGAGGCCAGCCUCAGCAAUACAGCAAUAUAAAAGGGGUGGUGGGAUGUAGCUCAGCAAUAAAGGACCCCUAGCUUCAAUUCUCAGUACUGAAAAAAUAUAUAUGCAUUUAUUUUUUAUUAUCUCUCCAGGAACCCCAGUUCAUCUCCUUUCUUUUUUAUUCUCUUUCAAAAUUAGGGACUUGUUUUUAGUAACAUUUGAGAUCAGUAAUUCAUUUGCCACUACAUUAAACUUAGAGUUUAAUGCCUAUGUUAUCACUAAUUAACGAAUAUUAUUUAAAAUGAGUCCCACAAAAUAUGAUUUUCUACCCCAAAUGUUACAGUCACCUUGUGAAUACAUUAAAGGAUUAUUUAUUACAUUCUGUUGUCACCAAGGAAAAUAUGCUUUGUAGCUUAAACAAAAACUAGUUCAACUUCAGUAUUUCACUGUCAUAUUAAAUCUCCUGGCCUGGAAAAAAAUAAAAAUAAAAAUAAAAUCUUUUAAAAGCA
Long non-coding RNA from Marmota monax (woodchuck), 2930 nucleotides. RefSeq lists it as uncharacterized. The record is from RefSeq and is a predicted model, not a curated record. The transcript is spliced from 3 exons. NCBI's taxonomy places the organism in Eukaryota, Metazoa, Chordata, Mammalia, Rodentia, Sciuridae.